This 1426-nucleotide long non-coding RNA is filed under the name Vulpes vulpes (red fox). Its description in RNAcentral is "lncRNA (ENSVVUG00000017961.1)". Lineage: Eukaryota; Metazoa; Chordata; Mammalia; Carnivora; Canidae. The record is from RNAcentral.
GUGAAUUGGAGAACUUUCUUCCCUGUGUUACAAGGAGAUUAGCACCCAGCUGAGGCUGUCACCUCCUUUAUCAGGAUGAAACAGAGCAUCCAGAAGGAAACUGUGUUCUAGCCUAGGCACCUAAACAUCCUCAGCCACUCCCGAAGUCUGGGGGUAGAAAGUGGGGUUCUCUGGCUGCCCCCUCCCUGCCAGCAGUGUCUGGCAGCCUGGGAAUGAACCUGGAGCGGACCCUCCUCUUUUCUCCAGCUUCCUUUCUCCCCCGUUUUGCCAUGACUAACCUGACCAUCCAUGCCCUAGGUCAUGGCUUCAACCUCCUGGAGCUUGGCCUCCGCUUGGAAAAUGCAGAGAAAAUCAUCCACAGGCUGUUGGGCGGGAAGUCAUUCUGGGGGCAGGAAGAGGAGAGAGAGGGCCAGCCGGAGAAGUCCUCAGAGCCAGACCCAGGGCCCUCAGCACAGGCAGCCAAACCUGACUGUCCAGAAGAAAGGUCCAGAAAGAUGAGAGACCUGCAGCAGAAGGUGGCCCGGAGGCACGCGGAGCGGCGGGCGCUGCAGUGUGAGCUGAGUGUGAAGGUGUUCGGGCACGAGCUGAGCUAUGUGAACUGUGGGGUGAUGGGGAGCCACAUGAAACGCCAGUCCUUGCACCUGGCCGAGCUGGCAGUCAAACUCCUGAAGGGGCAGGAGGUACAGGUGAACCGGAGGCUGAACCUGGCCAUGCAGGAGCUCACCUUCCCCACGGUGUCUGGCCUUCCAGCCCGGCUGACCCUAAAUGCCUCGGCUGCCAUCGGCGUCCGAGUCCGGGGGACUGCCGACUUCCAGCAGCACCUGGAUUUCUCCGUGAAUGGUUAUGUCAAGCCCAGUGCCCUGCUCCAGAUCUCAGCGCAGAUGGGCACAGUGGGCGCCCUGGGGCAGGCCGGGCUGCGGUGGGUGACCAGCGUCCGUGGCACUGCCAGCCUGGAUGGUGGGAUUGAGGCGAGGAAGGGCCGGGACCUCCACGUGCACCUGAACACCCCCGAGGAGGCUGUGGAGCUGCUCAGCUUCAGCUCCAAGCUGUAUCUCAUCACUGGGGAUGGCGUGAGGAGCCUCAGUGAUGUCCACAGCUCUUCUGGGGCCCAGUCCUGUACUGACGAGAAAGCGUCCCACACCUGGGGCUGGCAGCUGUGCACAGAAGUCACCUGGCCGGCAGCUGGCCAGCCCUACCUGCUCUCAGGGCCUGUGUCUGCGGCUGUGACACUGAAGAAGCAGGAUCGGGGCCUCCAGCGAUACCUUCUGGAAGCUGCCUAUACCUUCCACCCCCAGAAGGACAGCUGGCUCCCUCUGGAAGCUUCAGCUCACCUCUUCAUGGGCACGCCCGAGUCAGACGUGCCCAGGGACGUCGGGGUAGACGUGAGCUACAGCGCACCCCAGGGGAAGUUCCGGCUCAAGCUUCA